This 493-nucleotide ribosomal RNA is filed under the name uncultured bacterium. RNAcentral's name for it is "bacterial SSU rRNA". It matches the Rfam family "Bacterial small subunit ribosomal RNA", at positions 355 to 865 of the family's 1533-position model. The record is from RNAcentral.
UGGGGAAUAUUGGACAAUGGGCGAAAGCCUGAUCCAGCAAUGCCGCGUGAGUGAAGAAGGCCUUCGGGUUGUAAAGCUCUUUUACCCGGGAAGAUAAUGACUGUACCGGGAGAAUAAGCCCCGGCUAACUCCGUGCCAGCAGCCGCGGUAAUACGGAGGGGGCUAGCGUUGUUCGGAAUUACUGGGCGUAAAGCGUACGUAGGCGGCUUUGUAAGUCAGAGGUGAAAGCCCACGACUCAAUCGUGGAACUGCCUUUGAGACUGCUUCGCUUGAAGAUGGGAGAGGUUAGUGGAAUUCCGAGUGUAGAGGUGAAAUUCGUAGAUAUUCGGAAGAACACCAGUGGCGAAGGCGGCUAACUGGACCAUUCUUGACGCUGAGGUACGAAAGCGUGGGGAGCAAACAGGAUUAGAUACCCUGGUAGUCCACGCCGUAAACGAUGAUAACUAGCUGUCGGGGCUCUUGGAGCUUCGGUGGCGCAGCUAACGCAUUAAGU